Non-coding RNA from Arachis ipaensis, 1782 nucleotides. The record is from RefSeq and is a predicted model, not a curated record. Lineage: Eukaryota; Viridiplantae; Streptophyta; Magnoliopsida; Fabales; Fabaceae.
GCAGUAAGAUGAGAUAGUAUUGACAGAUUGGAAUCUAUGUUGGAGAUGAAAACCGCGUGCUGGUAAAAUGGUUUAUGCAAGAGAGUCUGAAUCCCCAAAACAAUCAUAACAGAUCUGAAAUCUCGAUGCGAAUGGUUAGUUAGUUAGUUAGUUAGUUAUGGUUCGGGCUUCGUCGGUGAAGGUUGGGUCGGCCAAGCUCGUUGUUAUCUGCGUCGGCCUCUUAGGUUUCGCCCUCGUCGCCAACUUCCUUUGGCUCUCUUCUUCUGCUUCUUCUUCUUCCUCCUCCUCCCAUUUCAUUGUUCCCACCACCACCAACAUUACUAUAGCAAAGCACAACAAUGAUGCUGCUUCUUCUUUUGGAGGAGAAGGAAGAGUGCUGGCCGCGGCUUACGCCGAUUUGCCAGCUCCUCAAUUGAAGUGGCAGAAGAUGGCUUCCGCUCCUGUUCCUCGUCUCGACGGCGCCGCUAUUCAGAUCAACGAUCUUCUCUUCGUCUUCGCUGGCUACGGCACCAUUGAUCUUGUACAUUCACAUGUUGAUGUGUAUAAUUUUACCACGAAUACUUGGGGAGAAAGUUUUGCCAUGCCAAAAGAAAUGGCACACUCACAUUUGGGGAUGGUGACGGAUGGAAGAUACAUAUAUAUUGUUACUGGACAGUAUGGACCGCAGUGUAGAGGUCCUACGGCUCAUACAUUUGUGCUGGACACUAAAACAAGGAAAUGGAGGGAUAUGCCUCCCUUGCCUGUCCCUAGAUAUGCGCCAGCAACUCAACUUUGGAGGGGUAGACUGCAUGUGAUGGGUGGCAGUAAGGAAAAUCGACAUACACCUGGAUUAGAACAUUGGAGUCUUGCUGUGAAGGAUGGAAAACCGUUAGAAAAAGAAUGGAGAAGUGAGAUACCCAUUCCUCGUGGAGGCCCUCACAGGUCUUGUGUUGUGGUUGAUGACCGGCUUUAUGUUAUUGGUGGUCAAGAAGGUGAUUUUAUGGCCAAACCAGGGUCACCUAUUUUUAAGUGCUCACGCAGGCUAGAGGUAGUCUAUGGUGAUGUUUACAUGUUGGAUGAUGAGAUGAAAUGGAAAACGUUACCAUCAAUGCCAAAACCAAACUCGCAUAUUGAAUUUGCUUGGGUGGUUGUAAACAACUCCAUUGUCAUUUCUGGAGGCACAACAGAGAAGCACCCUGUAACCAAGAAGAUGGUUUUAAAUGGAGAAGUAUUCCAAUUUAAUUUGAAUACUUUGAAGUGGUCAGUGAUUGGGAAAUUGCCAUUCCGAGUGAAAACCACUCUAGUUGGAUUUUGGAAUGGUUAUUUGUACUUCACCUCAGGACAGAGAGAUAAAGGACCUGAUGAUCCAUCACCGAAGAAAGUCAUUGGAGAGAUGUAUAGAACAAAAUUAAAAUUAAAUGUGUGAUCACUUGCUGGGGAAACCUUUAGUAUCCUCUUACUGAUCACAAAUUGCAGCAGAAGCUGAGAGCCCCAAAAUAUUACACACAUUCUUUGUCACUGGAAUAUUCAUUGUUGUAAUUCACCUAGAAAGUAACUGUAAUUCAUUCAACAAUAUAGUUUUUAAGAGUCCUAUUUUUUUUUUUAAUUCAGAAUUUUUACCUUUUCGGCUUUUGUAUACCUUUCACUUAUGUAGUAUAGUUUUGAGUUUAAAGACACCGAACAUUCAAGUAAAUAUUACCGAGACACCUAUUUGAAACCUUUACUUAUAAGGGAAGUUAUGGAGUAUUACCUAACUAAAAUCUCAGAUUAGUGCAUGAUCUUAUAAAUCAAUGUAAUUUACAC